CUCUCUUUCUCGCAGAGAAUCGAAUCUGUUUCUCCAAAUCUGGAUCGAUUCUUCUUUAGUCUCUUACUCAGUGAUUCUUCUUCGAUUCUUCUUCAGUUCGGUGAUUCAUCUCGGGAUUGCGAUUUCGAAGUUCGAUUUUGAGCACAGCUCCGUGAUUUAUCUCCAUGGAUUUGGAACUCUUCGUCUUCUUCAAUCAGAGGGCUCUAUAUAGGUCUUAGGGCUCUCGAUUCUUCUUCACUCUUUUACUCAGUGAUUCUUCUUCGAUUCUUCUACAGAUCACAUCAUCUUUGGAUUAUCCUUUAACAGCUUUGAGCCAAUCAAAUGGAAAAGGUAGAGGAUCUAUGUUGUGCUUGUGUAGUUCAAUAUCAUAAUCAUCAUGAGUCAAUUUAUAUAUGUUGUGUGUUGUCAAUAAACUAAAGUUGUUGAAUUGGCAGUAUAAGCUGGGUAAGGUUAGGGUUCUCUUCUGGAAUUAACUUUGUUUUGUAAUUAAUAUUUUCAAUAUGUUUUUGACCAUUUUGAU
Long non-coding RNA from Camellia sinensis, 520 nucleotides. RefSeq lists it as uncharacterized. The record is from RefSeq and is a predicted model, not a curated record. NCBI's taxonomy places the organism in Eukaryota, Viridiplantae, Streptophyta, Magnoliopsida, Ericales, Theaceae.